AUAGUACUCCCUCGAAAUACUUGUCAUCAAAAUGAAUAAAACGGGGAUGUAUCUAGAUGUAUUUUAGUUCUAAAUACAUCUUUUUUGUCCAUUUUAAUGACAAGUAUUUUCGGGACGGGGAGAGUAGUAG
This is a non-coding RNA of Triticum aestivum (bread wheat), 130 nucleotides long. The record is from Rfam. NCBI's taxonomy places the organism in Eukaryota, Viridiplantae, Streptophyta, Magnoliopsida, Poales, Poaceae.